UGGAGAAGGAGACAGAGGUGAUCCCGCAGAUGAUGUUGUCAUGGGAGUAAGUCAUGAGCUCCUGGUCAGCACGAAGGUCAAACAGCCUGCAGGUGGCGUCGUCUGCCGGCACAUGCCUUCUCGCACAUCCCAGAGUUUGGCUGAAGCAUCACAAGCACCAGAGACGAACAGUCUGGUGUCAGGAGCAAGAGAAAGGCUCA
This 200-nucleotide long non-coding RNA is filed under the name Homo sapiens (human). Its description in RNAcentral is "HSALNT0000497". Lineage: Eukaryota; Metazoa; Chordata; Mammalia; Primates; Hominidae. The record is from RNAcentral.